AGCGAACGCUGGCGGCAGGCUUAACACAUGCAAGUCGAGCGGGCACUUUCGGGUGUCAGCGGCGGACGGGUGAGUAACGCGUGGGAACGUGCCCUCUGGUUCGGAAUAACUCAGGGAAACUUGAGCUAAUACCGGAUACGCCCUUUUGGGGAAAGGCUUGCUGCCGGAGGACCGGCCCGCGUCUGAUUAGCUAGUUGGUGAGGUAACGGCUCACCAAGGCGACGAUCAGUAGCUGGUCUGAGAGGAUGAUCAGCCACACUGGGACUGAGACACGGCCCAGACUCCUACGGGAGGCAGCAGUGGGGAAUAUUGGAAAAUGGGCGCAAGCCUGAUCCAGCCAUGCCGCGUGAGUGAUGAAGGCCUUAGGGUUGUAAAGCUCUUUUAUCCGGGACGAUAAUGACGGUACCGGAGGAAUAAGCCCCGGCUAACUUCGUG
This 435-nucleotide ribosomal RNA is filed under the name uncultured bacterium. Its description in RNAcentral is "partial 16S ribosomal RNA". It matches the Rfam family "Bacterial small subunit ribosomal RNA", at positions 29 to 507 of the family's 1533-position model. The record is from RNAcentral.